Molecule: non-coding RNA, 29 nt
Filed under: Mus musculus (house mouse)
Lineage: Eukaryota; Metazoa; Chordata; Mammalia; Rodentia; Muridae
Source: RNAcentral
UGGUCUUUCAGGAUAGUCAGUGCUGGAGA